This 1211-nucleotide long non-coding RNA is filed under the name Sorghum bicolor (sorghum). Its description in RNAcentral is "long non-coding RNA (SBIC_LNC001571)". Lineage: Eukaryota; Viridiplantae; Streptophyta; Magnoliopsida; Poales; Poaceae. The record is from RNAcentral.
AGGCUUGUGUGAGUUGAGGCUCAUCUCUAGUUGCUCUGGCCACCAAAGUGCUUAGUGAUAUAUACUCAAUAAUUAGCAUAGGUGCUUUGUGAAGUACUUAAGUUAAUUAGGCAACCGCUUUAGCAUUUGCUCUAGGUUUAAGCCUAGCUAGCUAGUGUUUACUGAGGUUCACAUACUUCUUACCACUUAGUGCUUGUGUGCACCAUUGUUGUACAUCAGAGGGGUUUAUUUUCGUGCAAGACCGCACUGACCACGUUUGUGGUGUGGCUACCACCAUGUACUAGAGGAAAUGAGACCUAUGGCGAUUUUGGCUAGAAGCUCGAUAGUGAAGAUGACAGGGAGAGAUCCAAGGGAGACUAUCUUGAAAACCCACUUGCACUUGGGGAAGGCUCGGGGGCUAUCCAUAGUGUUACUCGACUAAGACCUUGGCCCUUACGGGAGGCUCGAUCCAAAAAGGAUUAGGGGGAAGCUUGAGUGCUUCUUGAUACCUUGGUAAAAAUAUCAACAUCAUUGAAUGAGAGUCUACAUAUCUCUAUUGCCAUUUACCUUCCACACUUAAUUUAUGUAAGUGCUUACUUUCCUAGCUGUGAUUGGCUAGUUGAUAUGAUUGGAACAUAAGGUGCAUAUAGCUCUUUUGCGGUAGAGAUAGCAAUACACCUAGCAAAAUCUUAGUUGCACAUCUAGAUAGAUUAUUUCUUGCAUAUGUUUUUACUAGGUUAAAUCAGAGGCGAUAGUUAGGAAUAGAUUUUAAGUUGACUAAUUCAUCCACCUCUUAGGUGUCAUGGUACCUUUACCCACAAUUCCAUUUAAACCCAUACAACAAAACAAACACACUUCAACUUUGGCCAACCCAAUUAACAUACUUGAUAUGAGCCAUAGAUCUACCGACCGACCAAAGAUGAAUGACAAAGGCUGCUGGAUUAGAUCUGACGACCUCUAUAGUUAAUUAUGCUUAGGUUUUGUUAUUUAAUGUAGACUAAUAUUCUCCCGCCAUAACAUUCAUAUGAAGCUCCACUACUAGUUUUAGACAUCCAUAUGGUCUCCAAAACAUGAUUUUGACUUAUGACUUUCCUCAAUGCAAAAAUAUGUAUAACAAUGGAUAAAAUCAAUGAUACAAUUCCCUCAUACCAUUUUCAAAUAUGCGGAACCCUCAUAUAAAAAGGUACAUAUUUGAAACCACAGUAAUUGAUUUGAUAAUUAUUUAAUCUCCC